Long non-coding RNA from Mesocricetus auratus (golden hamster), 2203 nucleotides. RefSeq lists it as uncharacterized. The record is from RefSeq and is a predicted model, not a curated record. The transcript is spliced from 3 exons. Lineage: Eukaryota; Metazoa; Chordata; Mammalia; Rodentia; Cricetidae.
GGCAGUGUUGGUAAGAGAGCUGAGCAGGUUAAGCACUGGUGCCAAACCCGAGGACCCAGGGCUGAUCCUGCAACUCACCAGGAGCAGGAGAGAGCUGACUCCAAGUUGUCCGAGGCCACUGUCAUGAAAUCCCUUUCUACCGAAAAUAGAUGCUUAAAAACUUUUAAAAACCAAACAGACGUAUGCCUACACAGGAGCCAUUGACUGAAAGCUGUUGCUCAGGAGCAGCUUAACGGUCGCUUUCUUUUUUGUGGUUCCAAGCUCUACCAACCUUUUAAAGGCUAUCGAGGAGCUAUCUCACAGCGAGUUAGUGGCUUCUUCGGAGCACAGAGGAAGUCCUAAAAGGAAUUCAUUUAGUAGCAAUUCCAAGAACAGCGUUCAUGAAAAUCACAGAGGAAAGUAGCCUGUCCACCAUGUAUGAGAUAAAGUUAUGAGCUUCUAAAAGGAGAAGGCCGGAUGAACACCAGGAUCCCUGCCUGUUUCCUGCUCCACCUCGAUGGCAUUGAAGGUCGCAAUGUGCUCCCACAUGUCAUCCUGCUUGCUGCAGUGUGGUUGCCAGAGGAGGGCAUCGACGUCAUGGCGCAGACAGAAGCAAGGCAUUUCUUUAGGAUCCACAACGACUGAGAACAGGGUCCAUGCACUGCUUUCGUGGUCAAUAGAUGAAUACAGUCUUCCUCCCAGGACCUGGACACCCUUCAGCGUAAUGGUGAUGCUCUCAGGCAAAAACUGGAUUUGAAUGUCUUCCUUAGCACAGUUUUCGGGGAGCCUUACUGUUACUGUCAAGUCGUCCUCAGUUUGUUGCCAGUAAUACAGAGGUUCCACUGGACCAAGAAAAUGCAUUACGUAACAAAAAUUAGACACAGCAUACAGACUUAGACCUCAGGCCUCUAAGAGGCCACCUAUCCAAGUCAAUCAGUGUAUUUCCUAGGAGCAUCCCUCUCACACACACACGAAUUGUGAACACGCAGACUUCAGGGAAUCUGACAGACUUGAAACAAAUGCACAGGAUAGUGUCCUCCUCCAGGCUCACCCAUACAUUCAGAGAUGGGCACUGGGCACUCAUAAAACUACUGACAGCCGUCCCUUAUGUACUUCAAUCUCUGACUCUCUUUACUGUUCCCCUUCUUCUUCCUCUAAGUUACAACACACACACACACACACACACACACACACACACACACACACACACGCAUGCACGCACGCACGCACGCAUGUACACCAGUCUCCCUUAAAUGCGAAUAUGCCAGUUUACUCAAUAUAAUCCCAUAAUGAAUAACUUCUGACAAUGAGGGUAAGAGGAACCUGUAAAAUUAUGUUUUUAGUGAAAAUAGACUAAAGACAAUCCAGAAUUUCCGAACCCUUUAUCAUGGAGUAUCUACAGUUCCCCCAUUUCUGUGUGGUGAAGGUCAAACUUGGGGCUCUCACACGCUACGCCAGCCUCCCACCACUAGGCCGUCUCAGACCUUUCUGACUGUGGGUGCCUCGAGGUGUCAUCCUGUGCCUUUAGAGACUAGGAUUACAUGUUUACAAGAAAACCGUAAUUAUUUGUCUUACUAUGAAGAUACCAAAUAGUCCAUAGUUACCAUUUUUCCUGAGGUUUACAGGAAAUGAAACCAGUUUCUAUUCUCAGAAGUGUUAAGAAUGUUAAUCAAGCACAUGUAAUUUAAAUAUGCCCCCCUUUUCCUUUACUAUUGUGAAAAUAUCACAGGCAAUCAUUAAUAAAUUGCAAAGGAAUUCAAGAUGUAACAUGAAGCUUCAACAGGAAAAAUCACAGUUGGACACAAACACACACAGUGCUCUGCUGGGACUGGAUUUGCCCUGGUCCCAACAUAGACAUCCCAGUGAUGAAGGCUCGCCUGCCUGCCUGCCUGCCUGCCUGCCUGCGCAGCUGCUCAGUGAAUGAGUUCUGAGGGCAGCAGGCUUGAUAUAUGAGCACUGACUUGGUGAAGGCUUUAACACAUUGAGCAAUGAAAUAAGGUUAGUGGAUGUAUCUGGAGGAAGUCCAAGUCUCGCAAACAAUGUUUGUGAGGAAACCAAGUGGGAAGGAAGAGAAGAGAAGGCCAAAGGCACAGCUCUUUUUCUGUCUGGAGCCUCGCACAUUCAUAAGUCUGGGGAAGUAAUUCUGAACAAUGAUUAUGUUAGUAUUGUUAAAUAUGUUUUGAAGGACUCACUUUUUAAAAAAAAAAGUACACAAAUAUACUGA